GACGUAGGGCGCGAGCGUUGUCCGGAUUUAUUGGGCGUAAAGAGCUCGUAGGCGGCUUGUUGCGUCGACCGUGAAAACCCGGGGCUCAACUUCGGGCUUGCGGUCGAUACGGGCGGGCUAGAGUUCGGUAGGGGAGACUGGAAUUCCUGGUGUAGCGGUGAAAUGCGCAGAUAUCAGGAGGAACACCGGUGGCGAAAGCACUCUGCUGGGCCGACACUGACACUGAGAGACGAAAGCUAGGGGAGCAAAUGGG
RNAcentral lists this ribosomal RNA (253 nucleotides) under uncultured bacterium. Its description in RNAcentral is "partial 16S ribosomal RNA". It matches the Rfam family "Bacterial small subunit ribosomal RNA", at positions 524 to 776 of the family's 1533-position model. The record is from RNAcentral.